GACGAACGCUGGCGGCGUGCCUAAUACAUGCAAGUCGAGCGCUAACUGCUGGUACUUUUGCGAACGGGUUGGUCAGCGAACGGGUGAUUAACUCGUGUUGGAUCUGCCUUUGAGCGGGGGACAACAUUUGGGAACGAAGGCUAAGACCGCAUAAAAUCUUGAAACACAAUUUUCAAGUUUUAAAGAUGCAAUUUCGUCACGCAAAGGUGAUCCCGCGUGGUAUUAGCUAGGUGGUGAGGGAAAGGCUCACCAAAGCGAGGGUACAUCGCAGACCUGAGAGGGUGAUCGGCCACAUUGGGACGGAGACACGGCACAAACGACUAAGGGAGGCAGCAGUAGGGAAUCUUCGGCAAUGGAAGAAAGUCUGAACGAGCAACGCCGCGUGAGUGAAGAAGGGUUUCGGAUCGUAAAAAUAUGUUGGUAGAGAAGAAAGUUGGUGAGAGUGGAAAGCUCAUCAAGUGACGGUAACUACCCAGAAAGGGACGGCUAACUACGUG
Molecule: ribosomal RNA, 497 nt
Filed under: uncultured bacterium
Lineage: Bacteria
Description: partial 16S ribosomal RNA
Rfam family: Bacterial small subunit ribosomal RNA
Source: RNAcentral